Molecule: long non-coding RNA, 236 nt
Filed under: Lathyrus oleraceus (garden pea)
Lineage: Eukaryota; Viridiplantae; Streptophyta; Magnoliopsida; Fabales; Fabaceae
Description: Pisum sativum (pea) long non-coding RNA (PSAT_LNC020474)
Source: RNAcentral
AAAUUAAUGCCAAUCCUAAGGACUAACAGUGACGUCCUCAAGAAAUAUCCAUGACUCUGGGAACCUACCAACUGUAGAGCCUACCCAUGGGGUUCCAUUAAUCAGAGAUACUUGUCAUUUACUCGUUAUUCUGAUCCAUCUGAGAACACCUUGAAUGUGUGAUCCUAAACAUGUCACUACAUUCAUAGACAUAUCAUUACAUUUAUAUUCAUCAUCAUACAUUUCAUAUCAUUUUU